Long non-coding RNA from Melospiza melodia melodia, 514 nucleotides. RefSeq lists it as uncharacterized. The transcript has 4 exons. NCBI's taxonomy places the organism in Eukaryota, Metazoa, Chordata, Aves, Passeriformes, Passerellidae. The record is from RefSeq and is a predicted model, not a curated record.
CCAAAAUUUGGCAUGCAGGCGCUCAGUGCUCUGCCAGAUCACUCCAAGCCAGCCCCACUGUCCAUCCUGCAGUUCCUGGUCCCGCUGCUGUCUGCAGGAUCCAGCAAAGCAGCUCCAGUUUGGAUGGUGGCACCAGUCUCCAGCCCCCACCCAGCAAAGCCACAACCCCAGCAGCUGCACAGGAGGAUGGGAAGGUGCCACCAGCACCCUCCCCAGCAGGCUGAUAUUUCACAUCAGGAGCAGAGCUGCCCCUGGAAAACUGUGAGAUGCCACCACUGAGAGCUGGCUCACAAAACUAAAACAGCAUUCUCCCGCUGGGAUAACAUGAGACUUAGCUGGGAUUUUUCCUGCUGAAUAAACAGGGAAUACUCUUUCUCAUUUGCAUCUAAGGCUCAAGUCCUGAAUGUUCAAGCCCUCCUGGAUGGCCCUGAGAAAGAUAAGCUAUCUCCCCCAUCUCCCAGCCUGGGAGCAGCAAACAUUCCUGCUUUGUGGAACAAAACCUCUGGCUGACCUA